This 221-nucleotide ribosomal RNA is filed under the name uncultured bacterium. Its description in RNAcentral is "partial 16S ribosomal RNA". It matches the Rfam family "Bacterial small subunit ribosomal RNA", at positions 29 to 275 of the family's 1533-position model. The record is from RNAcentral.
AGCGAACGCUGGCGGCAUGCUUAACACAUGCAAGUCGCACGAGAGCUUCGGCUCUAGUGGCGGACGGGUGAGUAACGCGUAGGAAUCUAUCCAUGGGUGGGGGAUAACAUCGGGAAACUGGUGCUAAUACCGCAUGAUACCUGAGGGUCAAAGGCGCAAGUCGCCUGUGGAGGAGCCUGCGUUCGAUUAGCUAGUUGGUGGGGUAAAGGCCUACCAAGGCG